UUCAACUCUUUCUCUAUCUCCCUCUCAAGUAUUAGUGUACUACUCUUAUCUGUUUAGAUUGUUAUCACCAGAUAAGUUGGAUUUUAUUCCUUGCUUUUCGGUUAUUCAAGCUUGCUUGCUUUUAAGUUCAAUAGCAAAAGCUAAAAAGCGAAAAACAAACCUCGGUUCACGAAUUGGGUAUUGGCCAGAUCUUGGAUUAGAACCACAGAUUCUACGCAAAUCAUUUUGACUUUGGAGGUCCAUUUUAUUGGCGUGAUAAUGGAU
This 264-nucleotide unclassified non-coding RNA is filed under the name Hevea brasiliensis (rubber tree). The record is from RNAcentral. Lineage: Eukaryota; Viridiplantae; Streptophyta; Magnoliopsida; Malpighiales; Euphorbiaceae.